Molecule: ribosomal RNA, 511 nt
Filed under: uncultured bacterium
Lineage: Bacteria
Description: bacterial SSU rRNA
Rfam family: Bacterial small subunit ribosomal RNA
Source: RNAcentral
AUCCUGGCUCAGAGUGAACGCUGGCGGCAGGCCUAACACAUGCAAGUCGAGCGGCAGCGCGUCCGACCACCCUCGGGUGGUCGGAUGGCGGCGAGCGGCGGACGGGUGAGGAAUGCAUCGGAAUCUGCCUCGUUGUGGGGGAUAACGUAGGGAAACUUACGCUAAUACCGCAUACGACCUACGGGUGAAAGUGGGGGGACCUUCGGGCCUCACGCGAUGAGAUGAGCCGAUGCCGGAUUAGCUAGUUGGCGGGGUAAAGGCCCACCAAGGCGACGAUCCGUAGCUGGUCUGAGAGGAUGAUCAGCCACACUGGAACUGAGACACGGUCCAGACUCCUACGGGAGGCAGCAGUGGGGAAUAUUGGACAAUGGGGGCAACCCUGAUCCAGCCAUGCCGCGUGUGUGAAGAAGGCCUUCGGGUUGUAAAGCACUUUUGUUGGGGAAGAGACCGGCCGGGUUAAUACCCUGGUUGAAUGACGGUACCCAAAGAAUAAGCACCGGCUAACUUCGUG